AGCCAGGAGCCUGUGGUGGGGGUGAGGAGCUCUGAGCAUCAGCCCUCCAAGGGUCUGAACUGUGCAUUCAUGCCUUGGCAGUACCAAGCCCACCAGAGCCAACCCCCGAGAGCAUUAGCAACAAUCAAAAGUGCCCAGGCCCUAAGGACUGGUGACAUACUGAUAUAUGUCACUGAUGACAUAUGACCCACUCUCUAAGUGAUGUUAGGGGCACUGCUGAGGUGGUGUGGGCAGGAGGCUGGGGAUACAGCGUCCGUCAGAGGAGCACGGGAUUGUCUCUACUGUCCUGAGAAGUCCCAGAGAGGACUUAUCGUGCUGGAUGGAAUCUGCACAGAGACUCUGUGGUGCCCUCUUCCUUGGCCUUGACUUCUACCCUGGCCAGUGCGGAUGAGGACAGGAAAGGAGCUCCUGGACUCUUCUGGGUCCGGAGUGAGAGAGAGAUGCAGACUGGAGAUCCCGGGAAUUGGAGGAACCGAACAAUCUGCCUUGGAUGGCACGGAGAGUCGGGCUCGUACAGGUCAGAAGUAAAUUGAGCAAGAGAAAGGAAAGGUACCAGCAGCAGAGAAAUGCCUUUGCUGAUGCUGGCAAGCCAGGAGAUGCUGACGUGCCAGAUGUGAUGAUGUUAUGCACAUCUGUUCUCCCAGGCCCUUGGGGCCACGGCUGGGAAGGGAUUAUUCAUCAUUCAUCACAGUCCACGAACAGACUGCCCUGUGUGGCGAACAUACCAAGAGGUCCUAAGCCAGAGGAGAAGAGUUCAACGGUAACUCGGACACCAAGAUUUCUUCAGUUUAGCCAAAUAGUUGUUUUGGCAACUACUUCCACAAGUGCCAAGUAUGAUCACAACUCAUACUUUCAAGAGGAGGAGACAGACCACAACUCAAGAUACCAAGGUUAUAACUGGAUUUCUUCCAUUAACUUUUCUGGACAUUCUAGGUCUUAAUUUCCCCAUUUCUCACAUGGACAGUAAAUGAGUAACUCCCACAAUAGAGGUUCAUCACACUGGCAUGAAUAGCCUCAAAUGUAAUUAAUAAUAAUACACUAACAGAGCAAUGGUGAGAUGAUGUUUGAUGUAUCUGGGGAUAAAAGGUACCAUAUUUCAUUUUCCAUGAACCAGAAAACAUAAUUAAGCAUUCAUACCGUAAGUGGGUUCUUUUUCUUUCUUACUUUAUUAAAGGUAUAUGGUAAACAUCGGACCUGGGUUCACAAGCCAUCUCCUGCUAUUUUCUCACUCUAUGACCUUGGGAAAGUCAUUUGGCCUCUUUGGACCUUGGUUUCUCUACCUGCCGUAGUGGGCUAAAUUGCAUUCCCCCCCAAAAUAUGCCCACCUCAGAAUGGGACCUUAUUUGGGAAUAGGG
Neogale vison (American mink) is the source of this 1355-nucleotide long non-coding RNA. RefSeq lists it as uncharacterized. Lineage: Eukaryota; Metazoa; Chordata; Mammalia; Carnivora; Mustelidae. The transcript has 4 exons. The record is from RefSeq and is a predicted model, not a curated record.